CACGUAGGGGGCAAGCGUUGUCCGGAUUUAUUGGGCGUAAAGAGCUCGUAGGCGGCUUAGUAAGUCGGGUGUGAAACCUCCAGGCUCAACCUGGAGACGCCACCCGAUACUGCUGUGGCUAGAGUCCGGUAGGGGAGCGUGGAAUUCCUGGUGUAGCGGUGAAAUGCGCAGAUAUCAGGAGGAACACCAGCGGCGAAGGCGGCGCUCUGGGCCGGUACUGACGCUGAGGAGCGAGAGCAUGGGGAGCGAACAGG
This 254-nucleotide ribosomal RNA is filed under the name uncultured bacterium. Its description in RNAcentral is "partial 16S ribosomal RNA". It matches the Rfam family "Bacterial small subunit ribosomal RNA", at positions 524 to 776 of the family's 1533-position model. The record is from RNAcentral.